CAAGUCGAACGGUGUCCUCGCGACAUAGUGGCGCACGGGUGCCUAACACCUAUGCCACCCACCUUACAUUGGGGGAUAGCCUUUCCAAAGGGAGAUUAAUACCGCAUAAGACAGUAACUAGGCAUCUAGUAGCUGUUAAAGAUUUAUCGAUGUAAGCUGGGCAUGCCACCCAUUAGCUAGUUGGUGAGGUAAUGGCUCCCCCAGGCUAUGAUUGGUAGGGGAACUGAGAGGUCCAUCCCCCCCACUGGCCCUGAGAUACCGGCCAGACUCCUACGGGAGGCAGCAGUAGGGAAUAUUGGGCAAUGGACCGCAGUCUGACCCAGCCCUGCCGCGUGCCGGAUGAAGGCGUUAUGCGUUGUAAACUGCUUUUAUACAGGAAGAAACGACUCUUGCGAGAGGCAUUGACGGUACUGUAUGAAUAAGCACCGGCUAACUCCGUGCCCGCAGCCGCGGUAAUACGGAGGGUGCAAGCCUUGUCCGGAUUUAUUGGGUUUAAAGGGUGCGCACGUGGUUUAUUAAGUCAGUGGUGAAAGACGGUCGCUCCACGAUUGCAGUGCCAUUGAAACUGGUAGACUUGAGUAAAGUAGAGGUGGGCGGAAUUGAUAGUGUAG
Molecule: ribosomal RNA, 611 nt
Filed under: uncultured Flexibacteraceae bacterium
Lineage: Bacteria; Pseudomonadati; Bacteroidota; Cytophagia; Cytophagales; Cytophagaceae
Description: bacterial SSU rRNA
Rfam family: Bacterial small subunit ribosomal RNA
Source: RNAcentral